UUCUGACAGGUAUGACUCACGGCCAGCUCGAUAUUGGGCCUAGAGGGUCACACACAUAUGGUAGGCAUUGCGAUGAGUAGAGGUUCGGAUAUGAGAUAUCCGACGGAGCCCUUAUCUUAUUGGAUGCAGAUUCAAUACCCACUAGGGAAGGACCCAUUAGGGUUUGACACGGGAUCUCUAUAAAUAGGAGGGAUUCACAGCCUCAUAGGCUAGAGUCUUUGCUUGCCUUUCCUAUUCUCCUCUCCCUCUCCACCUC
Molecule: long non-coding RNA, 256 nt
Filed under: Musa acuminata (dwarf banana)
Lineage: Eukaryota; Viridiplantae; Streptophyta; Magnoliopsida; Zingiberales; Musaceae
Description: long non-coding RNA (MACU_LNC009240)
Source: RNAcentral